GCCUCCUUAGCUCAGUGGUAGAGCACUCGCCUUGUAAGCGAAAGGUCGUCAGUUCAAUCCUGACAGGGGGCUCGA
This 75-nucleotide transfer RNA is filed under the name Nocardia brasiliensis. RNAcentral's name for it is "tRNA-Thr". It matches the Rfam family "tRNA". Rfam says of the family: Transfer RNA (tRNA) molecules are approximately 80 nucleotides in length. Their secondary structure includes four short double-helical elements and three loops (D, anti-codon, and T loops). Lineage: Bacteria; Bacillati; Actinomycetota; Actinomycetes; Mycobacteriales; Nocardiaceae. The record is from RNAcentral. RNAcentral also lists the same sequence under 3 other names.